UACGAAUGGGGCAAGCGUUGUUCGGAAUCACUGGGCUUAAAGCGUGCGCAGGCGGCUAUGAAAGUCAGGAGUGAAAUCCCCGGGCUCAACCCGGGAAUUGCUUUUGAAACUCCAUAGCUAGAAUACUGGAGAGGUUAGCAGAAUUCCGAGUGUAGAGGUGAAAUUCGCAGAUAUUCGGAGGAAUACCAAUGGCGAAGGCAGCUAACUGGACAGUCAUUGACGCUCAGGCACGAAAGCGUGGGUAGCAAACAGG
This 253-nucleotide ribosomal RNA is filed under the name uncultured bacterium. RNAcentral describes it as "partial 16S ribosomal RNA". It matches the Rfam family "Bacterial small subunit ribosomal RNA", at positions 524 to 776 of the family's 1533-position model. The record is from RNAcentral.